RNAcentral lists this long non-coding RNA (1134 nucleotides) under Felis catus (domestic cat). Its description in RNAcentral is "lncRNA (ENSFCAG00000048616.1)". Lineage: Eukaryota; Metazoa; Chordata; Mammalia; Carnivora; Felidae. The record is from RNAcentral.
CCCUCUGAUGAAAAGCACCCUUGUCUUUCCCCUGGAAACUCUCCUUCUCGGGAACGGCUUCGCUCCCCUCUGCCCCUUUGUCCUAGACCCCAGCCUCCGGGCUUUCCCAACCUGGGCCUGGCCGACCCCCACCCCCCCGCUCCCCUCCUGGGCCCCAUCUCAGGAGGCCCCGGUGAGGUCAUCCUUGCACAAUAGAGCCAGGGUCUGCUUUCUGCUGAAGAGGGAGACUCGGGGUGGGGGAGACAGGCAGGAGGCUGCAAUUACAGGGUCCACAAUGGGGAGCUGUCAAGGGGGCCCCUGCCAAUUAGAGCUGCUGCAGGGAGCCGGGGGAGGGCGAGGGCGCAGGGGGGCAGGCAGGCCUCGAGGAUCAGGUCAGGUAGGCUCCAGCCCUCAUUGUCCGAUCGGGCAUUCAUUCAUACACACACACACACACACACACACACACAACACACACACACACACACACACACACACACACACACACAUAUUCAUUCAUGCUGUUAAUAUUGUCUGGGCACCUGCUAUGUGUUACGCACUGUGCUAUAAACAACAGGGACACAGCAGUGACCCGGCAGAUAAGGCUGGGCUCCACUGGAGCAAACCGUGGGGUAGACAAGACAAGCAGCAAACAGAUAAAUGUGCGUCACAUUCACGAGUCAAGUGUCACGAUGGAAAUAAGAUGGCACGAAACCACAGAAAGCAGCAGGGUGGGGGGGUGGGGGGGCAAUAUUGUCGACGUGGUCAGGGCAGGCUUCUUGGAGGAGGUGACAUUCGAGCCGAGACCCGGAAAGCAAGACAUGGUCAGCCAUGCCACAACCAGAGGAGGAAUGUUCCAGGCAGAGGACACCAUAAGUACCUGAGUCGGGAGCAUGCCUGGUUGGGCGGGGAUCAGAAACAUGGCCUGUGCGGUAGAAGGGCGGUGGGUGAGGGAGAAGGGAGGCUGUGCAGAGCCAUAGGAUUUUGGAGCUGGCUCCCCAGAGCCGUUGCAUGCAGCCGUUCCCAGCUCAGUGUGCAGGCCGUGAGCUUGAAAUGGAUCAUAGUGGGAGGGUUUACACCCUGGAAAUCAGCAAAUGCUGCAAAUCAGGGCUUUUCCCCCCUGGGGGACCCACUGUUAAAGGUUUACCAGCAUAGGAU